UUCGCACAUCUGCCCUCAGGGAGGCGUUGCUAUCGCUCCGGCCUCGGUAACCAAUCAGGGCCUCCAGAUGGACUGCCAGUCAGAAUGGAGGCGGGCACUUCCGGUCCACCAAGCUGAAGGCGUGGGCGACCGAGACGGGAGGAGGCCGCGCUGUUGCGUGUGCUGAGCUGUGAGCCGGUCCCGGGGGCUGUGAGGAGAGCGCGGCGAGCGCGGAAGCCGCCAUGGUGAGCGAGCAGCCGCCGUCCGCACUCGAGGAGCCGCGGGCGCCGGCGUGGGUCCUCCCGGGGCCGUGGGAACCCGCGGCGGCCGGAGCGGCGACUCCACUUGGUCCCCUGAGGUCCCUCCAGCUCCCAGGCUGCCGCGGGGCCCCUGGAUGACUUUGCUUGACGGCCCGCACAGCCUUUGUGUGGAAAUAUCUCUGUGUAUAUCAUACUGUGGACAUGCCCGGCAGUGUGAGCAUAGUGACUGUCCUGUCGUGGGUGUAUUUUUUCAGUUAAUGGAACUGCUACAGCUCCCACAUCCCUGGUUUCAUCUUUCAUCUCUUGACAGUCAUGGCCAAGCACCUGUGUCAUCAUACAAGGGGGUAGCCUCAACCAUGUGGUGCUGUGCUGUGAUUAUAAGAGCUUGACCCAGAGUUAACUUUUUUUUUUUUUCAUUAAACUGGUAUUAGCCUCCAUUGCUCUUAGACAGAUGGGCCCACCUAUGACUACAGGGUCCAGUCAUUUGGACACUACAUUACAGGCCACACUUCCCCUCCUCAUGGAGACCAGCAAUGAAUGAGAGCAGGAGUCAAGCAACACUACAAGGACGUGCUUGUGCUCCUGGACUGGGUCAAGUGGAGGGGGUUUUCAUCUUUGGAUGACCUGGUAGAGCCAAAAGACUUCAGUUCCCCAACAGGAGGGAGCACAGGUCUUUACCUGGGUGGAGGAGGGUUUCACAGCAGAGAAAGUCACGGGUCAAUACAGGGAAACAAAACUGAUAGAAACACAUAGAAAGACAUGUAGAGACACAUACACAGAGACAGGAAAAGUAACAAGAGUGGCCAUCACAUAUUCAUACACCUGAAUAGAUAGAGGGAUCCAGUGACAUGUCACAUGGUUCCCAGACACUCAAUCAGCAGCCAUGUCUGUCCUCUUCUAUGUGUCCAAACAGAAAGUGCCACAGCCAGACUUAUUACUUCCAGAGGUGACACAGAGGUGACUUUCUAAUUUGUUUCCUUUUGGGGUGGAGAUUUCAGCCCCCUGUGAAGUGUUAGGCAGUGAUUGGUCAAAGGGAGCCCUGGUGUGGUGGUAUGAAAAGGAAUGGCCCCAUAGACUUACAUAUCGGAAUGUUUGGCCCAUCUUAGCAUCAUUAUUAGGAAGUGUGGCCUCCUUGGAAUAGGUGUGGCCUUGUUGGAUAAUGUGUCAAUAUGGAGGUGGGCUUUGAGGUCUCUUAAGCUCAAGCUAGGCCCAGUGUGUCUCAGUGUUCUGGUGCUUGUGGAUCAAGAUGUAGAAUUUGCAGCUCCUUCUCCAGCACCGUGUCUGCCUGCAUGGGGCCAUGCUUAUCCCCUUGACACUAAUGGACUAUAUGUCUAACAUUUAAGUCAGCCCUAAUUACAUGUUUUUCUUUGUUAGAGCUGCCAUGGUCAUGCUGACUCCUAACAGCAAUAAACACUAAGAAAGGCAUUGUGAAUCGCCUGGCCAUUUUAUUUUGUUAGGUAGAAUUGAACGUUGGGGCUUUGGGUAAGGAAAGCAGGUGUAAUGCUUUAAGUGGUGCUUAAAUGGGCCAUACUAGUUAGAGCAUGGAAGACAGUGGUGCUGAGGGUUAUUGGAACUAUGGGGGCCUAGCUCAAGAGAUUUUAGAUGAGAAGAAUGUUAGUGCAUUGCUUAGAGAUUGUUCUUGUGAUAUUUUAGUGAAGAAUGUGCCUGCUUUUUGCACUUGUCCAAAGAGUUGGCCUGAGGCUAAAGUGAAGAGUUUUGUAAUAAUUCAUUUGGCAGAGGAAAUCCCAAAACAGACUAGUAUAGACUCUGUUGUGUCAUUAUUGGUCUUCCCCCUUUGAAGAGGAACAAACUGAGCAUGUAAAAAUACCCAGUGUACAGAUUGAGGAGAACAGGGGCACCAGGAACCUGAAUGGAGCUGUAAGUCCUGUGUUCAAGAAGAUAAACAGAUUUAGAAAUGGAAUAAAGAGAAUGGUAACCUAUGGGUAAGAUCACACCCAGCUAGACUUCCAAUUUGUGAAAAGGUAAUAGAAUUGGUGAGGUUCAGGCAUGGUGGUGCAUGCCUUUAAUGCCAGUACUCAGAAGGCAGAAACUGGUGUAUCUGUAAGUUUAAGGCCAGCCUGGUCUACAGAUCCAGUUCCAGACAUCAAAGCUUGGGUAGUGGAGGAAACCUUUGAAAACAGAAAGCUAGCUAAGAUGUAAUCCAAGGGGUCAUUGUUCCAACCCCAGCAAACAGUAGAACUUAGCCGCUUCGGUCCCAUGGUUUUGGCUUUGGAGUCAAAGAUAGAAGAAAAGGAUUAUAGAAUCUCCCUCUAUUUCUAGGGAAUGCUGCUGAGGCCAGGCAUGUGUCAGUGGUGUCCCUGAAUGUAAGUCUAGAGGGGUCAUUGCAUGAAGCAAUACAGGCGAAGCCUGGAUUGCCUUGGAGACCCCAAAAUGCUAGGGAGUGGAACCAACCCAAGAGAAAGAAGCGUGUUGCAGUCACCAAAGCUGAAAGGAGUGGAGAUCUGAAGAGCAUUUUGACAUCAGACAUGGAAUGCAGAGUUUGGACUUUCCCCGGCUGGUUUUCAGUCUUGCUUUGUUCCAUCAUUUCCUAAUUCUGCUCCCCUUCCUGCAUUUUGGAAUGAUAGUGUGUAUAUCCUGUGCCAUUUUAUGUUGGAGUAUAUGAUCUACUUUUUAAUUUUGAUUUUACAAGGGAUUAUAGUUAAGACAUCCAUGAAUUUCAGAAGAGACUUUGAAUUUUUAAAUAAGUUUGAGACUGUUAUAGACUAUGGGGACUUUGGUGCAUUAUGGUAUGGCUAUAAACAUAUGAGAGCCAGGGCUUGUGUUAGUUUGAAUAGGAUUGUCUCUCAUAGACUGGUGUCUUUGAAUGCUUGGCCCAUAAGUAAUGGCACUAGAAGAGGUGUGGCCUUGUUGGAGUAAGCGUGUCACUGUGAAGGUGAACUUCAAGGUCUGAGUGUCUCAGUGUCCUGCGGCUGCCUUUGAACCAAGAUAAUAGAGCUCUCAGCUCCUCCUACACCAUUGCGUGACACCAGGCUUCUUGCUCUGAUAAUAAUGGACCAACCCUCUGAAAUGUAAGCCAGCCUCAAUGAACUGAUUUUUUUUUUCCUGCUGAGCAGUAAAAAUCCUAACUAAGACUCCGGGGACCUGGAAUAUUUCAGGUUGUGACCCCCUAGCAGUCCCCAAACCCCUGGUGUCCUGACGUUUGGUUUCUGGAAACUCACUGAGACCUCAAGAAAUGUGGGUAUUCACCACAGAGGACUACUAGGGCAUGGGUUUAAGCUUGGGACUAUUGGGACUACUCUGGUUUUGGGGUCUGAGUACACUAUCAAGUCUUUCUCAGCAUGAGUGCUUCUGGGUUGACAUCAGUUAACAGGAACAGUUAGCCAGGAACACAACUAAAGCUCAAAGCAAGGUUAGUACAUUUACAGACUUCCCAAUAACUAUGAACUUCAAUGGAUUAGAACUUUGUUUCUCCUUUUUGGCAGGUGGUGCUGCAUAUGUGCUGAGUUUUACAGCCUGAAUGGCACUUCCAUGAUGGAGUCAGUUAUGUUAAGGUCUGGGCCCUAUUACAUUGCUAGAUUAAGCAACAUUUUUCUUGUGUUUGAGUGAAAUGUAAAUGUCUGAUAGGUCCAUUUGGGUUAUAAUAUCUCUUAGCUCCAGUAUUUCUCCAUUUAGUUUUUGUCUGCGUGACCUGUCCAUGGGUGAGAGUGGGGUAUUGAUGUCUCCCACUAUUAGUGUGUUAGGGACCAUAUUCAACUUAAGCUUUAGUAGUCUUUCUUUUACAAAGGAGGCUGCCCUUGUGUUUGGUGAAUAGAUGUUAGAAAUUAACACAACAUCGUGCCAGAUUUUUCCUCUAAAUAUGUAGUGUCCUUCCCAUCUCUUUCAAUUCAUUAAGCUUAUGGGCAUACUAGAUGAGAAAUGAGGCCACAUUAGUUAUUUAUUUCCCUGUGGGCUUCACACAUGAUAGACAGAAAAUAGUCAGCCUCUGUAUCAGCUUUUAUAUAGAAUUUCCUUCACCUGUCAUCCCAACACUUGAAAAGUUGAAGCAGGAGGAUCACAAUAAGAUGUGUGAUUUACUUGGGAGCUAGGUGGCAGGGCCCCCAAAAGAGAAAAAACGUUUUUACUACACCACUGAACCAUCUCUCAUCCCUUUUUAUUUCUUUUAAGAUUUAAUUUAUUAUUGUCUUUUUGUCUGCACAUGCAUAGUACUGUUCAUAAUAAGAUGACAGCAUAUGGGACCCAGUCCUCUCUACCAUGAGGGUCUUAAGGACCAAACCACAUCUAUCAGGCUUGGCUACAAGCACCUAUAUCUUCUGAGCCAUCCCCUGACAUCUACUGAGCCAUGAUCUUUUUGUUAAUCAUUGUUGGUUUUCAAAACAGACUCUUGAGGUCCAGGCUGACCUUGAAAUCAUGACCUUGUUGAGUCCACCUCCAGCUACUGGGAUGACAGGUUUCAAUAUCACGCCCUGUUUAUGCAGAAGCCUGGUGCUCGCUGGGCUAGUACUCUUCCCAAUGAGACUCAUCUGAAAUAAAAACAUUGAUAUAACCCACUUGGUGAUGAUCACAGGUCCACACUGAGAUCUUGUGUCAACAAACAAAAACCAAAGAAAAUCCUGCAAGUAAAUGUUUUUGUUAAGAGAUUAUGUAUGUGUGUUGAGAGAGUCUUAGUUGCCUAGACUGUCCUUGAACUGACACUGUAGCCCUUGAGAUCCUGACCCUCCUGCCUCAGCCUUCUAAGUACCUUCUAAGUAUCUGCACCACCAAGUGAGGAUGCCAGGGCACAAGACUAUGUGUCCAUGGUCACAGCUAGUAAUCAGAGGUCCAUGACAAGAUCAGACUGUUCCUAGGGAAGGGUCUGAAUCUAGAACCUUCCUUAAGAUGGAAUUCUAUUAGUUCAGUGUGGAAGGAUGGGAAGACCCAUAGAAUUCUAUAAUAAUUGCUAGAUCUCAAAUUUUAACAAAUGCUGAGGUUCUUAUUAACAUUUCAAAGCAGUAUUUUUUUGUUUGCUCUGCCACCUACCAAAUUUGGUUAUAAAUUCCAUUUGUCUUUCAAAACAGGGUUUCUCUGUAAAAACCCUUGCUUUCUUUGAACUUGCUUUGUAGACCAGAUUGGCCAAGAACUCACAGAGAACUUCCUGCUUUGAGUGUUGGGAUUAAAAGGCAGUGUCCCCACAGUUCAGCUUUACUAUGAAUUCUAUAUUCUGAGUAAUCACUGACUUCUCUCUACUUCCUCCACUCCAUAAGUGUCUCAACCCUAGCCUGAACCCUCUACCCACUAUGGGUGAUUCGCUUGGGCACAUAUCUCACACCUACAGUCUCUGGCCUGUUAUACCUGUCUGGGUUUCUCUCUAUACCCACACAGAUUUCUACUGAAUACACCAUCCCCCUUUCCAAAACGCUUCCACUACUCUUUUGCCUUCUCUUGAUGGAGCCUCGUGAGGAUUAAGAAGAGGCAGAUAAAAGAAACAGAGACAGAAACACAGGAUAGAUUCGGGAAGACUGCCCAGUCCAUGCUUUUCAGCACACCGACAGCCCCGAGUCUAAUUUAGACCCUGCUUAUAUACAGACUAGAGGCAAAGCAGAAAAAAGAGCAGCAUAAUCAGUUAACCAGCUCCCUGUACUGUCCUUGAAUCGAGGAGCAGCCAGGUUCACUAUCUAAAAUUAGGGUGCUACUAGCAUCAGCUGGCAUCAGUACUCAUUAGAGAGAAAAUAUACUCUAUCCUAUGGGCUUAAUCAGGGCUUUCCCAUGGCUCUCAAGGAGACUGCAGCAAGCCAGCUUGAACUCUAAUGUCUUACAAGUCAGAAUAAACUUCAGAUGGAAACUGAGUCACUUGUGGGCUCCCACAUCCUCUCCUGGUUGAGUGUCAGUCUGGAGCUGCCCACUUUGUCUGUUAUUACUACAAAAGCCACCAGUGGCCAGGGUGCCCCUCGCAAGCCACAGGGUUUCUGAUCUCGUGGGAAGGGAUGCCUUUGUGAUUUAUUGAAAUUUUCUCAGAUAAGUCUUUAUUUCACUUAAGAGAUACCCCAAGUUGAAAUUCUUGUUACUAUGACAAUACAUUUGCUUUUAGCUGCUCCUGCAAUUCCAGAAAUUCCUUGAGCCUGGCCAGGCCAAUGUGACACUUUUCUUUUGUCUUCUUUUUCUAGGAGCUUCCUGAGUCCCAUAGCUUCUCUAAACCCAUUGGACUACCAUAAAAAUAUAUAUGAAAAAUAUAAUGUUUUCCAUAUUUUAAAUCUUACACAAAACCCUUCCUGUAAGUGAAAAUAACACAGUUUCUCCCAUAUUUACAGCAGGGUGAAAAACUGUAUUUACCAGAAAACAUGCUAGAUUUGGUCUACAGGUUGUAAGCAGGUCAGUUGUACCUAAGGAUAAUGAUUUACACUAGGCAUAAGCAACCAAACUCUUGUGGUGCAGUGUAUGUCUCCUGAGGCCUCAUCAAGUACAACAUAUUGAUUCCAAAUAUUUAUUUUUCAGAUCCAACUUUCCUAAUCUUUUGCAAUUUGUAUCUGUAACUACAUAAUAUACUCCUUGGGAAAUGACAGUUUGAUAGAAUCACAGAUCCUCCCCGACUCUCCAGCUACAUGAGUUCCCAUCCGUUUCUUUUGGCUCACUCAUUUGAAUACAAACAUGCUUUUUAAAAAUGUAAAAUAAAAGAAGAUAAAAGCCAGCAAAAUCAAACAAGAUGAAACAAACUAACAGAAGACAAAUUGCCAAAGGAUGGUCCAUGGAAUAUACAUAGACACGUAGACCUGCAUGGAAAUCCCAUAAAAAUACAACACCAGAAACUACAAUGCUAUGCAAAAGAUCUGUGGGGAAAGAAAAAAGGGAGGAAAAAAAUUCCAGACAAAUCAUAGUGAUGAGACAAGGAAACUCCCGAAAUGCCAUGGAGCUUGUUUUGUGUUGGCCAUUUACUGUGGGGCAUGGGAUCUUUCUUUAAGACUGGUUCUAAUUUUUCCCUUGUUAAUGAUUAUCACUUGAAGAUAGCUGCUGGUUUAGGGUUGGUCAGUUGUAUCCACUUUCCCUCUCAGGGUUGGGACCCUAUCUGACUUCGGCCCGUUGCAGGCACUAUUAUGUGCUGACAGUGAGUUUAUAUGCUCACCAGUCCUGCUGUGUUUGGAAGGCAAUAUUGCCUUGUUGUUCCCUAUUCCCCCACUGGCUCUUACAAUAUUUCUAUUUGCUUUUCCACAGGGUUCUCUGAGCUCUGAAGGGAUGGUUUGAUGGAGACCUCCCAUUUAGGAUCAAGGUCUCUCACUUUGUGUGCAUUUUCUUGUGGAAUCCCCUUUGGCAGCAAAGGAACGUGCCUGUUCACUGUUCAACACUAGAUGGAGCGAAAGAUUGGUAUAUAAUGUUAUCUACUGAGAGUGGCAUUACAGGUAUUUUAAUUUCUGUGAAAAUAACAAAUUUUCUUUUUCUUUUCUCAUCUUAGCACAUUUGUAAUUUCCCUUACCAGAACUUGUUAGAGAAUACUUGAUUAUGCUGAAGUCUGUACUGUUUUGCUGGGACUGGUGAAUUAAACCAUCCCAUCCUA
This is a long non-coding RNA of Mesocricetus auratus (golden hamster), 7722 nucleotides long. RefSeq lists it as uncharacterized. Lineage: Eukaryota; Metazoa; Chordata; Mammalia; Rodentia; Cricetidae. The record is from RefSeq and is a predicted model, not a curated record. The transcript has 2 exons.